UACGGAGGGGGUUAGCGUUGUUCGGAAUGACUGGGCGUAAAGCGCGCGUAGGCGGUUCAGCAAGUUGGGGGUGAAAUCCCGGGGCUCAACCCCGGAAUGGCCUUCAAAACUCCUGGUCUUGAGUUCGAGAGAGGUGAGUGGAAUUCCGAGUGUAGAGGUGAAAUUCGUAGAUAUUGGGAAGAACACCGAUGGCGAAGGCAGCCAUCUGGACCGACACUGACGCUGAGGCGCGAAAGCGUGGGGAGCAAACAGG
This 253-nucleotide ribosomal RNA is filed under the name uncultured bacterium. RNAcentral describes it as "partial 16S ribosomal RNA". It matches the Rfam family "Bacterial small subunit ribosomal RNA", at positions 524 to 776 of the family's 1533-position model. The record is from RNAcentral.